Molecule: ribosomal RNA, 454 nt
Filed under: Escherichia coli
Lineage: Bacteria; Pseudomonadati; Pseudomonadota; Gammaproteobacteria; Enterobacterales; Enterobacteriaceae
Description: partial 23S ribosomal RNA
Rfam family: Bacterial large subunit ribosomal RNA
Source: RNAcentral
AUGGAGCCGACCUUGAAAUACCACCCUUUAAUGUUUGAUGUUCUAACGUUGACCCGUAAUCCGGGUUGCGGACAGUGUCUGGUGGGUAGUUUGACUGGGGCGGUCUCCUCCUAAAGAGUAACGGAGGAGCACGAAGGUUGGCUAAUCCUGGUCGGACAUCAGGAGGUUAGUGCAAUGGCAUAAGCCAGCUUGACUGCGAGCGUGACGGCGCGAGCAGGUGCGAAAGCAGGUCAUAGUGAUCCGGUGGUUCUGAAUGGAAGGGCCAUCGCUCAACGGAUAAAAGGUACUCCGGGGAUAACAGGCUGAUACCGCCCAAGAGUUCAUAUCGACGGCGGUGUUUGGCACCUCGAUGUCGGCUCAUCACAUCCUGGGGCUGAAGUAGGUCCCAAGGGUAUGGCUGUUCGCCAUUUAAAGUGGUACGCGAGCUGGGUUUAGAACGUCGUGAGACAGUUCG